RNAcentral lists this transfer RNA (75 nucleotides) under Microgenomates group bacterium ADurb.Bin219. RNAcentral's name for it is "tRNA-Pro". It matches the Rfam family "tRNA". From Rfam's summary of the family: Transfer RNA (tRNA) molecules are approximately 80 nucleotides in length. Their secondary structure includes four short double-helical elements and three loops (D, anti-codon, and T loops). RNAcentral also lists the same sequence under 1 other name. The record is from RNAcentral.
CGGAGCGUGGUGCACCGGUAGCACGCAGCGUUCGGGACGCUGAGGCACAGGGUUCAAUUCCCUGCGCUCCGACCA